GACGAACGCUGGCGGCGUGCUUAACACAUGCAAGUCGAACGGAAAGGCCCCUUUGGGGGUACUCGAGUGGCGAACGGGUGAGUAACACGUGAGUAACCUGCCCUUGACUUCGGGAUAACUUAAGGAAACUGGGGCUAAUACCGGAUAGGAAUCCUUGCUGCAUGGUGGGGGUUGGAAAGCUUCGGCGGUUUUGGAUGGACUCGCGGCUUAUCAGCUUGUUGGUGGGGUAGUGGCUUACCAAGGCUUUGACGGGUAGCCGGCCUGAGAGGGCGACCGGCCACAUGAUAACUGAGAUACGCCCCAGACUCGUACCGGAACCAGCAGUGAGGAAUAUUGCACAAUGGUCGGAAGCCUGAUGCAGCAACUCCUCGUGCGGGAUGACGGCCUUCGGGUUGUAAACCGCUUUCAGCAGGGGCGAAGCUUUUGUAACGGUACCUGCACAAGAAGCACCGGCUAACUACGUG
This 464-nucleotide ribosomal RNA is filed under the name uncultured bacterium. RNAcentral describes it as "partial 16S ribosomal RNA". It matches the Rfam family "Bacterial small subunit ribosomal RNA", at positions 28 to 507 of the family's 1533-position model. The record is from RNAcentral.